AUUGAACGCUGGCGGCAUGCCUUACACAUGCAAGUCGAACGGUAACAGGUCUUCGGAUGCUGACGAGUGGCGAACGGGUGAGUAAUACAUCGGAACGUGCCCGAUCGUGGGGGAUAACGAAGCGAAAGCUUUGCUAAUACCGCAUAAGAUCUAAGGAUGAAAGCAGGGGACCGCAAGGCCUUGCGCGAACGGAGCGGCCGAUGGCAGACUAGGUAGUUGGUGGGAUAAAAGCUUACCAAGCCGACGAUCUGUAGCUGGUCUGAGAGGACGACCAUCCACACUGGGAGUGAGAGACGGCCCAGACUCCUACGGGAGGCAGAAGUGGGGAAUUGUGGACAAUGGGAGAAAGCCUGAUCCAGCCAUGCGGCGUUCAGGAUGACGAACGUCGGUUUGUAAUCUGCUUUUGUACGGAACGAAAAGACUCUUGCUAAUAAAGAGGGUCCAUGACGGUACCGUAAGACUAAGCACCGGAUAACUACGUGCCAGCAGCCGCGGUAA
Molecule: ribosomal RNA, 498 nt
Filed under: uncultured bacterium
Lineage: Bacteria
Description: partial 16S ribosomal RNA
Rfam family: Bacterial small subunit ribosomal RNA
Source: RNAcentral